UCAGCUGGAUAGCUCAGUUGGUUAGAGCAUGGUGAUGAUAAUGCCAAGGUUGUAGGUUUGAUCUCUGUAGGGACAGCUGCA
Non-coding RNA from Podarcis lilfordi (Lilford's wall lizard), 81 nucleotides. The record is from the annotation of a GenBank genome assembly. NCBI's taxonomy places the organism in Eukaryota, Metazoa, Chordata, Lepidosauria, Squamata, Lacertidae.